UACACUCCUGCGGGAGGCAGCAGUGGGGAAUUUUGGACAAUGGGCGAAAGCCUGAUCCAGCAAUGCCGCGUGUGUGAAGAAGGCCUUCGGGUUGUAAAGCACUUUUGUCCGGAAAGAAAUCCUUGGCUCUAAUACAGUCGGGGGAUGACGGUACCGGAAGAAUAAGCACCGGCUAACUACGUGCCAGCAGCCGCGGUAAUACGUAGGGUGCGAGCGUUAAUCGGAAUUACUGGGCGUAAAGCGUGCGCAGGCGGUUUGCUAAGACCGAUGUGAAAUCCCCGGGCUCAACCUGGGAACUGCAUUGGUGACUGGCAGGCUAGAGUAUGGCAGAGGGGGGUAGAAUUCCACGUGUAGCAGUGAAAUGCGUAGAGAUGGGGAGGAAUACCGAUGGCGAAGGCAGCCCCCUGGGCCAAUACUGACGCUCAUGCACGAAAGCGUGGGGAGCAAACAGGAUUAGAUACCCUUGUAGUCCC
This 473-nucleotide ribosomal RNA is filed under the name uncultured organism. RNAcentral's name for it is "partial 16S ribosomal RNA". It matches the Rfam family "Bacterial small subunit ribosomal RNA", at positions 332 to 797 of the family's 1533-position model. The record is from RNAcentral.